This 846-nucleotide non-coding RNA is filed under the name Pseudocuneopsis capitata. Lineage: Eukaryota; Metazoa; Mollusca; Bivalvia; Unionida; Unionidae. The record is from RNAcentral.
AAAAUAACACUUCGUUCUGAUGCUAAAUUAAUUAAGACUUCUAAACCACAUAUGGUAAAUUACAAAGCUUUGUGAACAAUUUACUGCUCAGCAAAAUGUUUAACACAUUCAAGCCUUAGCUUUAAAAACAGAGUACUAAUACACUCUAUGGAAACCUCCCACAACACCAAUGAUUUAUAUUGUCUCCAGCUAGGAAACUAGGCAACAGAGAUAGUCAAUUACAAGUGACUAAAUAAGGUGCCAGCAGUCGCGGUUACACCUAAUCUUGAAAUUAAUUUCCUCAAAAAAGAGGUCUGUAUAACUGAUCUUAAUCUUACCUGAAAAAGUAAAAUUUAACUCCAACAGAAUACCCUAACAGAUCUUAUCACCUAACCUCAACAAACCACACUACAAGACAGGGAUUAGAUACCCCAUUAUUGCGUGGCUCAACAUAACAAACACUAAAAACGAAAGUUUCAAACUUAAAGAACGUGGCGGUGUUCUACACCUUAUUAGGGGAUCCUGUGGCUUAAUUCGAUAAUCCACGACUAGUAAAGCUUUAUUAGUUCACAGCUUAUGUAUGGCCGUUUUAUGCCUGCACACUAAGGUUACAACAGGAGACAAUUAAAGCUAAUAUUUAAUAAUACAGGUGACAUAUAGCCUAUAUAAAGCAGUUCAUGGGAUACAAAUAAUCACUAUUAUCCGAAGGUAACUUGAAACUGUUACAAAAAGGAGGACUUAACAGUAAGAUCACAAACAACAUUUUGAUCUGAACAAGAUCUAGAACGCGCACAAAUCGCCCGUCACUCCCAGACACUAAUCGGGAUAAGUCGUAACAUAGUAGGGGUAACGGAAGUUGCCCCUAAA